RNAcentral lists this ribosomal RNA (391 nucleotides) under uncultured bacterium. RNAcentral's name for it is "bacterial SSU rRNA". It matches the Rfam family "Bacterial small subunit ribosomal RNA", at positions 130 to 515 of the family's 1533-position model. The record is from RNAcentral.
CUAUAGCUGGGGGAUAACCCCCAGAAAUCGGGGCUAAUACCGCAUAAUGCAGCGGGGCCGCAUGGUCACAGUUGUUAAAGCUUUCGGGCGGCUAUAGAUGGGUCUGCGUGCCAUUAGUUAGUUGGUAGGGUAAUGUCCUACCAAGGCGAUGAUGGCUAGGGGGUCUGAGAGGAUGAUCCCCCACACUGGGACUGAGACACGGCCCACACUCCUACGGGAGGCAGCAGUGAGGAAUCUUGCGCAAUGGAGGAAACUCUGACGCAGCCACGCCGCGUGCCGGAAGACGGCCCUAUGGGUUGUAAACGGCUUUUAUUUGGGAAGAAGGAUAGGGUUUUGAUCUUAUUUGACGGUACCGAUUGAAUAAGCACCGGCUAACAUCCAUACAAGCAGC